ACGGGGGAUGCGAGCGUUAUCCGGAUUUAUUGGGUUUAAAGGGCGCGUAGGCGGGAUGCCAAGUCAGCGGUAAAAGACUGCAGCUAAACUGUAGCACGCCGUUGAAACUGGUGACCUCGAGACGAGUCGAGGAUGGCGGAACAAGUGAAGUAGCGGUGAAAUGCUUAGAUAUCACUUGGAACCCCGAUAGCGAAGGCAGCUGUCCAGACUCGAUCUGACGCUGAUGCGCGAGAGCGUGGGUAGCGAACAG
This 250-nucleotide ribosomal RNA is filed under the name uncultured bacterium. RNAcentral describes it as "partial 16S ribosomal RNA". It matches the Rfam family "Bacterial small subunit ribosomal RNA", at positions 525 to 775 of the family's 1533-position model. The record is from RNAcentral.